RNAcentral lists this ribosomal RNA (409 nucleotides) under bacterium. Its description in RNAcentral is "partial 16S ribosomal RNA". It matches the Rfam family "Bacterial small subunit ribosomal RNA", at positions 355 to 776 of the family's 1533-position model. The record is from RNAcentral.
UGGGGAAUAUUGCACAAUGGGCGAAAGCCUGAUGCAGCGACGCCGCGUGAGGGAUGACGGCCUUCGGGUUGUAAACCUCUUGCAGUAGGGACGAAGCGCAAGUGACGGUACCUGCAGAAGAAGCACCGGCUAACUACGUGCCAGCAGCCGCGGUAAUACGUAGGGUGCGAGCGUUGUCCGGAAUUACUGGGCGUAAAGAGCUCGUGGGCGGUUUGUCACGUCGUCUGCGAAAUCCUAGGGCUUAACCCUGGACGUGCAGGCGAUACGGGCUGACUUGAGUACUACAGGGGAGACUGGAAGUUCUGGUGUAGCGGUGGAAUGCACAGAUAUCAGGAAGAACACCGAUGGCGAAGGCAGGUCUCUGGGUAGUAACUGACGCUGAGGAGCGAAAGCAUGGGUAGCGAACAGG